RNAcentral lists this ribosomal RNA (490 nucleotides) under uncultured bacterium. Its description in RNAcentral is "partial 16S ribosomal RNA". It matches the Rfam family "Bacterial small subunit ribosomal RNA", at positions 30 to 507 of the family's 1533-position model. The record is from RNAcentral.
AUUGAACGCUGGCGGCAGGCCUAACACAUGCAAGUCGAACGGUAACAGGAAACAGCUUGCUGUUUCGCUGACGAGUGGCGGACGGGUGAGUAAUGUCUGGGAAACUGCCUGAUGGAGGGGGAUAACUACUGGAAACGGUAGCUAAUACCGCAUAACGUCGCAAGACCAAAGAGGGGGACCUUCGGGCCUCUUGCCAUCGGAUGUGCCCAGAUGGGAUUAGCUAGUAGGUGGGGUAACGGCUCACCUAGGCGACGAUCCCUAGCUGGUCUGAGAGGAUGACCAGCCACACUGGAACUGAGACACGGUCCAGACUCCUACGGGAGGCAGCAGUGGGGAAUAUUGCACAAUGGGCGCAAGCCUGAUGCAGCCAUGCCGCGUGUAUGAAGAAGGCCUUCGGGUUGUAAAGUACUUUCAGCGGGGAGGAAGGGAGUGAAGUUAAUACCUUUGCUCAUUGACGUUACCCGCAGAAGAAGCACCGGCUAACUCCGUG